AUUGAACGCUGGCGGCGUGCUUAACACAUGCAAGUCGUGCGGUAACAGGCGUAGCAAUACGUGCUGACGAGCGGCGAACGGGUGCGUAAUACAUGGGAAUCUGCCUUUUAGUGGGGAAUAACCCGGCGAAAGCCGGCGUAAUGCGCAUAAGAUCUUCGGAUGAAAGACGGGGAGUCGUAAGACCUCGCGCUGAUAGAUGAGCCCACUGCCGGA
This 213-nucleotide ribosomal RNA is filed under the name uncultured bacterium. RNAcentral describes it as "partial 16S ribosomal RNA". It matches the Rfam family "Bacterial small subunit ribosomal RNA", at positions 30 to 240 of the family's 1533-position model. The record is from RNAcentral.